RNAcentral lists this long non-coding RNA (2958 nucleotides) under Oncorhynchus kisutch (coho salmon). RNAcentral's name for it is "lncRNA (ENSOKIG00005027689.1)". Lineage: Eukaryota; Metazoa; Chordata; Actinopteri; Salmoniformes; Salmonidae. The record is from RNAcentral.
CAGUGAAUAACAGGAGUACCACAACAGUCAAUGUGCAGGGUACAAGGUAUUGGGGUAAAGUGACUAGGCAACAGGAUAGAUAGUAGCAGCAGUGUGUGUUGGGAUGUCAGUGUAAGUAUGUGACUGUGGGUGGAGUCCUGUGUGUUUGUGUGUAUCCUGUGUGUGUGUGUGUGUGUGUGUGUGUUGUAGUAGUUUUAAGUCAUGUGUAACUCUCUUUAUGCAGGGCUCUCUCAUCUGGUGAGAACACAGCAGGUUGUCACAGCAACCCUGGGAGAAGAUGCAGUCUUAAACUGUGAACUCAUGAAACCCAAAGACGUGCUGCAAGUCACCUGAAAAAUAAUGACACGGGGCAAAAUGUGAACAUUGGCUCCUAUAGCAAACGAUGUGGACCAGUAGUCAACCCACCUUUUCAGAGGAACGUGGAGUUUGAAGACGAGGGACUGCAGAACUGCUCUAUCGUCAUCAGAGGAGUGUCAAGAGGAGACGAGUCCUGCUACAAGUGUCUGUUUAACACCUUUCCAGAUGGACCUAUCAGUGUCAGGACCUGCCUCCAUGUAAAUGGUGUACCUGAGGUCACUGAUGGUGACAGGAUCAGAGGUCAGUCAUUAAUCUAUUGACCACAACUAAUCUCUGACACUCUUAUCUGUGAAUUGUACCAUUCUCAUCUUGUCAUCUUUCACAUGUAACCCAACAGGGAUUGGUGCAGUGAUGGGUUCACUGUGUUUCGUUGCUGUGGCACUGUGGGGGUGCUGUGGCACUGUGGUGCAAACUGAGAAAUACAACAAGGUAAGUUUUACUGUUCAGAGGACAAAGACAAAAUACAGUAUUCAUUUGACGUUGUUUUUGUAAGUUUGACCAUCUUUAGCCCAAAUCCCACAGCCAAUGACAGAGAACAGGAAGAACUAUCAACACUCAACCCUCAACAUGACCCUGAAAUCCAGAGGUCUAAUCUAACACAUAUUCAAAUGAGUUGCAUUCCUGCAUUGUUGUUCUGAUGUUACUCAUGUCACUUACAUACCUCAUAAAACAAAUAUGUUAAUUACCCUGAUUUAUACAGAACAAUAUGUUAAUUACCCUGAUUUAUACAGAACAAUAUGUGACUUACCCUGAUUUAUACAGAACAAUAUGUGACUUACCCUGAUUUAUACAGAACAAUAUGUUAAUUACCCUGAUUUAUACAGAACAAUAUGUUAAUUACCCCGAUUUAUACAGAACAAUAUGUUAAUUACCCUGAUUUAUACAGAACAAUAUGUUAAUUACCCCGAUUUAUACAGAACAAUAUGUUAAUUACCCUGAUUUAUACAGAACAAUAUGUUAAUUACCCUGAUUUAUACAGAACAAUAUGUUAAUAUACCCUCUUUAUAAAGAACAAUAUGUGAAUUACCCUGAUUUAUACACAACAAUAUGUGAAUUACCCUCUUUACACACAACAAUAUGUGAAUUACCCUGAUUUAUACAGAACAAUAUGUGAAUUACCCUGAUUUAUACAGAACAAUAUGUGAAUUACCCUGAUUUAUACAGAACAAUAUGUUAAUUACCCUCUUUACACACAACAAUAUGUGAAUUACCCUGAUUUAUACAGAACAAUAUGUUAAUUACCCUCUUUACACACAACAAUAUGUGAAUUACCCUGAUUUAUACAGAACAAUAUGUGAAUUACCCUGAUUUAUACAGAACAAUAUGUUAAUUACCCUGAUUUAUACACACCGAUAUGUUAAUAUACCCUCUUUAUACAGAACAAUAUGUUAAUUACCCUCUUUACACACAACAAUAUGUGAAUUACCCUGAUUUAUACAGAACAAUAUGUUAAUAUACCCUCUUUAUAAAGAACAAUAUGUGAAUUACCCUGAUUUAUACAGAACAAUAUGUGAAUUACCCUGAUUUAUACAGAACAAUAUGUGAAUUACCCUGAUUUAUACAGAACAAUAUGUUAAUUACCCUCUUUACACACAACAAUAUGUGAAUUACCCUGAUUUAUACAGAACAAUAUGUGAAUUACCCUCUUUACACACAACAAUAUGUGAAUUACCCUGAUUUAUACAGAACAAUAUGUUAAUUACCCUCUUUACACACAACAAUAUGUGAAUUACCCUGAUUUAUACAGAACAGUAUGUGAAUUACCCUGAUUUAUACACAACAAUAUGUUAAUUACCCUCUUUAUACACACCGAUAUGAAAAUGUUUCUAAAGGAUUACCGAGCGACUAUCAUACUGUCUCACACACAUCUGUGUGGCUCGGAGACAGUUGAGUUGUCUUGGACAGAUACUGAUUAGCUGACUGAAUGGUUAAUGACAUGCAUAUAGUCCUGCGGGUUAUUGUAUAAAUAUGUUCAUAUGUAGCCUAUGUAAAUAUAUUAGCAGUUUGGUCAUGAAGAAACACUAGAUGUGUGUGUUUCAUUCUUCAAUUUUUUAUACAUUUAAGUGUUGUAAUAUUAUAGCCUACACAAUGUCAUCAUAAUGUACUCUGUGGUGGGUUUUGAUGUAUGAAUUGUCAUAAAUCUGCUGCUGGCAAAGCUUAAACGAAUUGUCUGAUUCUUCUGCCACUCGAGACCAGCCAAUGUUGCGAAUACCUGCCACUAGGGGUCGCUUGAAUAUAAUUUAGGGAGAGAGGUGGUAGAGAAACGGUUUUGAUAGUUUUGCAGCGCUCAUGCAACAUCGCCAACAGUGUACCCAAUACAAUUUGCUAUAUAGGUCCACUUGACAGUCUCUGUUCUCUGACGCCGCUCUUGUAGAGGCAGAACGCAUCACACACGAUCUGUUCAGCUUUAAGACUUUUGAUGCAUGGAUUUGAUAGUCAGUGUAGAAUAUUGUGUUAUUGCAGAGGACGGAAUUAAAUAAAUCUCACUAACUCCAUGCACUGCUCAACGGGUAAGUCUUUUUUUAACCAGUAUUCAUUUGUUAUAGGGCCCAGUUAAAAUAAAACAUUGUUCUGUUUAAUAUGCAUAUAAAUACGUUCAUC